This is a long non-coding RNA of Numida meleagris (helmeted guineafowl), 737 nucleotides long. RefSeq lists it as uncharacterized. The record is from RefSeq and is a predicted model, not a curated record. NCBI's taxonomy places the organism in Eukaryota, Metazoa, Chordata, Aves, Galliformes, Numididae. The transcript is spliced from 3 exons.
GGGUGUUUGUGCUGGUUGUAAUUAUAGUACGUGUUCAAGGAGGGAACAGCCAAUCAGUGAUAAAAUUUCAUACCACCAAGCAUUACAUUCAAAACAGCAGCGAGCGACGAACACGCCUCAUUUUUCUGUUGCCUAAGAUGCUCGGUGUCUGCCACUGGCUGUGGCAGGCUGCACGUGAGGAGUUUCCGUCACUGAUGCGCUGACGAUGAGGGCCCCCAGCAGAUCGGUAUGGCUCACGCUGUCGCUGUUGCCUCAGACCAGCACCGAGAUUGCGUGGCUGCUGAGCGCUCUGCAAAAGUUGAAGAGGAGCAAUUGCAGGAAACAGAAAAGAACCUGGCUUCAAAGGCUGGAUGCCGUUAUCAGCUGGAGGAUCUUGGUGUCCUGGAAGCGCGCCAUCUGAGUCAGAUUCAUCCCAAAGGAAUACAAUUCACACAUUCUGAGACCAUUUGAGCUUUUGUCAUUAAGGGGUAAAAGGGGACAUUUACUUCAAAGUGGCUUUAUCCGAAUGCAGAAGUGGAGACGCUCACGCCCUGUGGGAUCUGCAACCUGCCAGCAGCGUCAGCCCGGGUAACACACAGCACUCACGGAGCACCUGGGCACUGUUUGUACGGUUAAAUACAGAGAAGACACAGCAGGGCCCCGUGCUUUAGACAGAAUGAGGAGUCAACCGAAAGGCCAUCUGACUUCAAAGCAUGAGAUACAAGGUAUCCCCUCAAUAGAUCUCUUGAUGUGUCUCC